RNAcentral lists this unclassified non-coding RNA (367 nucleotides) under Hevea brasiliensis (rubber tree). Lineage: Eukaryota; Viridiplantae; Streptophyta; Magnoliopsida; Malpighiales; Euphorbiaceae. The record is from RNAcentral.
AAAAAAAAAAAAAAAAAAAGAGCAAAAUUAUGUUAAAAGCAACUGGAAGAUCAAGCAUGGAGGUGCUUGCAUUACAGGCUUACAGCACUUAUCAUGAAAGGCCCUUUGUUACACAUGCAAAUUUUAUAUAGCCCUUUGCCCCAGAUACACAUUGGCUAUCUACAUGAAGAAACAAGAACAUUGAAGAAGAAGGCCUACCCAGUCAUAGUAACUAGCUCCACAUUCAACUGCAUAAACUUCCUUGAUAAUUUCCUCCACAUUGCCGUAUUAUAAUACUUCCUAAUUACCUAAAUCCUGAAGGAGCUGCUCUCGGUCCAGCAGCUGCUGCUCUCAUGGCUUUUGAUUGAGCAAGCAAUGCAUCAUAAUC